RNAcentral lists this ribosomal RNA (858 nucleotides) under Triticum aestivum (bread wheat). RNAcentral describes it as "partial small subunit ribosomal RNA". The record is from RNAcentral. Lineage: Eukaryota; Viridiplantae; Streptophyta; Magnoliopsida; Poales; Poaceae.
AUGAAAGGUGAAAUCAACAAGUCGGAUCUGGUUAAGAAUAUGUUUGGUAUAUUCUGCAAAAACAAGCAAUGGACAUGGCAGAUCAGAUCACUGUCAGAGAAGUAGUUCCUGGUCAGAUUCCCACCCUGGAAAUUUGAAGAACUAAUUGAAUUUCCUGCCUUCGAUUUGCCCAUCGAUGGAGUCUCUGUGUCUGUUGAAAAGUGGACCGGUGCAAUUGACCCAUUCAGCGAGCUUACUGAAGCCUGGGUUGUCGUUGAGGGGCUGUCGUCUAAAUGGUGCACAUGGAAGGUCCUGUCUCAGAUUGCUUCCUGCUUUGGAAUCCUUGUGGAUGUAGAUUGGAAUGGCCAGAUGAAGAGCUUUUAUGGGAAAGUGAGAGUCAAAAUUGCUUGCAGGGACCCAACUAAGAUCCCCUUCGAACGGAUCAUGGAGAUGAGGAAAAAACUCUAUAUCUUAUCCUUUACAGUGGAAGCUUUUGACCAAGUAGGGGCUGAUGAUCCUAAUGAUGACGAUGGACCUACUGACAUAACUUUGGACGAUGACAACAAGGCAAUUGACGAUGAGGAGCUGGAUAAGGACAUCCUAGAUAAUGGAGAGGAACCCAUUGAUGACCUGGACCUUGCCAAUAGGGCCCCCACAAAAACUCCAGCUGGGAAGAAAACAACUGAUGAUGGUGCUACAUUCCAUCCCCUUGCUCUGUUAGAGGCAUGUAUUACUCCUGCGGGAGUUAAUAAGAAGAAUGAAGAAGAAACUAAGGCCCAGAGCAUGUGCUCUUCGAUACCCUUCUCUGAGGCUAUCAAAAUCCUUAGUUCUACCCACAACAAGACAGGCCAGUAUGCUUGCUGCAUCAUCAAGUGGUAA